RNAcentral lists this ribosomal RNA (849 nucleotides) under uncultured bacterium. RNAcentral's name for it is "bacterial SSU rRNA". It matches the Rfam family "Bacterial small subunit ribosomal RNA", at positions 600 to 1441 of the family's 1533-position model. The record is from RNAcentral.
UCNUCUGGCUUAACUGGGGGCUUGCGGUGGGUACGGGCCGGCUNGAGUGCGGUAGGGGAGGCUGGAACUCCUGGUGUAGCGGUGGAAUGCGCAGAUAUCAGGAAGAACACCGGUGGCGAAGGCGGGUCUCUGGGCCGUUACUGACGCUGAGGAGCGAAAGCGUGGGGAGCGAACAGGAUUAGAUACCCUGGUAGUCCACGCCGUAAACGUUGGGCACUAGGUGUGGGGGGCCUUUUCCGGGUUUUCCGCGCCGUAGCUAACGCAUUAAGUGCCCCGCCUGGGGAGUACGGCCGCAAGGCUAAAACUCAAAGGAAUUGACGGGGGCCCGCACAAGCGGCGGAGCAUGCGGAUUAAUUCGAUGCAACGCGAAGAACCUUACCAAGGCUUGACAUGUGCCGGUCGGCUCCGGAGACGGGGUUUCCUCCUUGUGGGGCCGGUUCACAGGUGGUGCAUGGUUGUCGUCAGCUCGUGUCGUGAGAUGUUGGGUUAAGUCCCGCAACGAGCGCAACCCUUGUCUCGUGUUGCCAGCACGUUGUGGUGGGGACUCGCGGGAGACUGCCGGGGUCAACUCGGAGGAAGGUGGGGAUGACGUCAAAUCAUCAUGCCCCUUAUGUCUUGGGCUUCACGCAUGCUACAAUGGCCGGUACAGAGGGCUGCGAUACCGUGAGGUGGAGCGAAUCCCUUAAAGCCGGUCUCAGUUCGGAUCGGUGUCUGCAACUCGACACCGUGAAGUUGGAGUCGCUAGUAAUCGCAGAUCAGCAACGCUGCGGUGAAUACGUUCUCGGGCCUUGUACACACCGCCCGUCACGUCAUGAAAGUCGGCAACACCCGAAGCCCGUGGCCUUACGG